This 400-nucleotide long non-coding RNA is filed under the name Capsella grandiflora. Its description in RNAcentral is "long non-coding RNA (CGRA_LNC001385)". The record is from RNAcentral. Lineage: Eukaryota; Viridiplantae; Streptophyta; Magnoliopsida; Brassicales; Brassicaceae.
CACGGAUUCUGGUAUCAUCGGUGAUAGUCUGGUUAUCAUCGAGAGGUACAUUGAGAUCAGCUCUCACGAAAACCUUCUUCCCCUUUAAAUCAGCUGAGGUCAGAUCUCCGACGCUCUUCUUCGCCAUAGAAACCACUCCUUUGCUCCCCUUCCCCCGCACUGAUUCAACCUUGGAAGCAACGUGGAGGGAGAAACGACGGGAAUCGAGAGUGGCGGAGAAGCCAAGAGGACGCGCGGAUACAGAGGUAGAGGGAAUUGGCAAGAGAGAGGCGCGUGCACGAGUUGCGUCGGAGGAAGCUACGCCGCCGGUGGACUUAAAGAAGGAAAAGGCGCGACUUGCGGCGGUUGAAGCCAUGUGGAUCAAAGGAGAUAAAAUGGAUUAGGAGAUGAGAAACAGAGA